GGCUCUCUACCGGCUAUAACCGCACUAUGCAACUUUGCCAGAUCGGGUAGCGGAUCUGUAGUUUGAAUGAGACAUAAUGGGACAAUUCCGGUUCUAGCCUGAAGGGGGACCGAAGCGGGAAAGGUUCUCUAGUGUUGCUUUAAAGCACGUUCUUUGACAAAUACUUUUAACACG
Etheostoma spectabile (orangethroat darter) is the source of this 174-nucleotide long non-coding RNA. RefSeq lists it as uncharacterized. The transcript has 3 exons. NCBI's taxonomy places the organism in Eukaryota, Metazoa, Chordata, Actinopteri, Perciformes, Percidae. The record is from RefSeq and is a predicted model, not a curated record.